AUGCUCCAGGACACCCCAAAGUGUCCCAGGGUCCCCCAAAGUGUCCCAGGAUCCCUCAAAAUGUCCCAGGACACCCCAAAGUGUCCCAGGACCCCACAAAAUGUCCCAGGACCCCCCCAGCCCCAUCCUGCUCUGCCCCCCCUUGCUCCCAGGCCCCUCCCCAGAGCCCCGUGCCCAGUCCUGGGGUGCUCCCAGUAUGGGGCCGGGCUCGUGCAGCUCAGCCCCACACCAGUACGGGGGCACGGGGGGUGGGGGGGGGACGGGAAGGAAUCCUGGUGCUGGGUCCCGCUGUGGGGUCCUGGGAGAGGGAAGUGGUGGGGGGCCUGGUGCGGGAUCCCGGGAGAGAAUCCCAGUUUGGGGUCCUGGUUUGGGAUCCCAGUUUGGAAUCCCAGUUUGGGGUUUCAGGAGAGAAUCCCAGUUUGGGAUCCCGGUUUGGGAUCCCAGUUUGGGGUCCCCGUUUGGGGUUUCAGGAGAGAAUCCCAGUUUAGGGUUCCGGUUUGGGGUUCCAGGCGAGAAUCCCAGUUUGGGAUCCUGGUUUGGGGUCCUGGUUCAGGGUCCUGGAAGAGAAUCCCAGUUUGGGAUCCCAGUUUGGGAUCCCAGUUUGGGGUGUCAGGAGAGAAUCCCGGUUUGGGAUCCCCGUUUGGGAUCCCAGUUGGGGAUCCUGGUUUGGGGUCCUGGUCUGGGGUUCCGGGAGAGAAUCCCAGUCUGGGGCCCCAGGAGGGAGUCCCAGUUUGGGGUCCUGGUUUGGGGUGCUGGUGCAGGAUCCCGUUGUGGGGUCCUGGUGUUGGUCCCAGGAGCAGGUCCCAGCGGGGCUCCCAGUUUGGGGUGCCGGUGCAGGGUCCCGGUGCAGCAUCCCGGUCCUCCCGGGAUUUUGUGUCCCCGGGGGAGGAUCCCGGUGGGGAUCCCGGUUUGGGAUCCCGCUGGGGGUCCUGGAUUUGGGUCCCGGUGCUGGCUCCCGGUACUGGGACCCGGAAUUUGGUCCCGGGGGAGAAUCCCGGUGGGGAUCCCGGUUUGGGGUCGCGCUUUGGGAUUCCGGGGGAGAACCCCGGCGUGAGGACCCUCUUUGGGGUCCCGGUAGGAAAUCCCCCUUUGGGGUCCCCCUUUGGGGUCCCGCUUUGGGGGGGGUCCCGGCGCGAUCUCCGGGGCCGCCCGUUCCCCUCGCUCCGCCCGACGUCGUUCGGCGGCCGGUAA
RNAcentral lists this long non-coding RNA (1191 nucleotides) under Anser cygnoides (Swan goose). Its description in RNAcentral is "lncRNA (ENSACDG00005007172.1)". The record is from RNAcentral. Lineage: Eukaryota; Metazoa; Chordata; Aves; Anseriformes; Anatidae.